GGCGGUGUGCUUCACGAAGGGGGUCAGCGUCAAUAUGUACUCAUUUUGGAGUUGGCUCGCUUUCGUAAUGCGAAGGUCGUAGGUUCGACUCCUAUUAUCGCGC
Molecule: transfer RNA, 103 nt
Filed under: Citrobacter freundii
Lineage: Bacteria; Pseudomonadati; Pseudomonadota; Gammaproteobacteria; Enterobacterales; Enterobacteriaceae
Also listed under: 1 other name
Description: tRNA-Thr
Source: RNAcentral